Molecule: ribosomal RNA, 273 nt
Filed under: uncultured Clostridia bacterium
Lineage: Bacteria; Bacillati; Bacillota; Clostridia
Description: partial 16S ribosomal RNA
Rfam family: Bacterial small subunit ribosomal RNA
Source: RNAcentral
AUGGUAGCUUGCUACCGUUUGUUUCUAGCGGCGGACGGGUGAGUAACGCGUGAGCAACCUGCCUUUAUCAGGGGGAUAACGCAUCGAAAGAUGUGCUAAUACCGCGUAAGACCACAGCUUCACAUGGAGCGGGGGUCAAAGGAGCAAUCCGGAUAAAGAUGGGCUCGCGUCCGAUUAGCUAGUUGGUGAGAUAACAGCCCACCAAGGCGACGAUCGGUAGCCGGCCUGAGAGGGUGAACGGCCACAUUGGGACUGAGACACGGCCCAAACUCC